CCUUGGGAGGAGAGCAAUAAGAGUUUCAACACUGCGCCUUUCUCCGUUGAAGAGUCUUCCAACUAGGCUGAGUUUGAAGCGAGCAAUCAGCUCAGAGUUAUCUACUGCCGGAAGGAUAACCAGGUCAUCCUCCUCCUCCUCUUGUACUUGCACUUGCAUCUUGUUCUUGUUGGAGUUUGUGAGUGACUGAGACAUCUUUGAAUUAUCAGAUAAAUUAUAGAUCUGUAGAGAAGCUUAACCGCCUGUGAAGAAACGUCUUCCUUUGUGGGAGCUAGGACCCAGCAAAGGAAAUUGAGAAGAAGCUUAAAACUGGAACUCAGUUUUGUAACAGAGA
RNAcentral lists this long non-coding RNA (334 nucleotides) under Brassica rapa (field mustard). RNAcentral describes it as "long non-coding RNA (BRAP_LNC007287)". The record is from RNAcentral. Lineage: Eukaryota; Viridiplantae; Streptophyta; Magnoliopsida; Brassicales; Brassicaceae.